AGAUUAAGCCAUGCAUGUGUAAGUAUAAACAACUUGUACUUGUGAAACUGCGAAUGGCUCAUUAAAUCAGUUAUAAUUUAUUUGAUAGUGGCAUUACUACAUGGAUAGCCGUAGUAAUUCUAGAGCUAAUACAUGCGUGUGGGGCUGACUCUAAUUAUGGGGAAAGUCUGUAUUUAUUAGAUCGAAAAGAAACCGAUUGGGCAGUGUGUUGCUCGGCAUUUAUGGUCUGUAAGGAUGGGUGAAAGGAGGUAUUUCUCUAUAAACCUGACGAUGAGUCAGGGGAGGGUAUUUCUUGUUUGCUCUUUGUCUGAUUAUGGACUGUGUCGGGACGCUUUUAGAAAGACAUGCUGUUCAUUUUUAAAAAAGUUUUAUGAGGAAUCAUGAUAAAAAUGUCGAAUCGGGGAUUAAGUUUCCUGAUGUGUCAUUCAAAUUUCUGCCCUAUCAACUGUUUGAUGGUAGGAUAGAGGCCUACCAUGGUUUUGACGGGUAACGGAGAAUUAGGGUUCGAUUCCGGAGAGGGAGCCUGAGAAAUGGCUACCACUUCCAAGGAAGGCAGCAGGCGCGCAAAUUACCCAAUCCCGAUAACAUUUUGGGGAGGUAGUGACAAAAAAUAACAAUGCAUUGGCACUUUCAGUGUGAUGUAAUUGGAAUGGCUGGGAUGUAAAUGCUCCCAGGAGUAACAAUUAGAGGGCAAGUCUGGUGCCAGCAGCCGCGGUAAUUCCAGCUCUAAUAGUGUAUACUAAAAUUGCUGCAGUUAAAAAGCUCGUAGUUGGAUUUUGGAGGGGACAUAAUAUGCUCUUAUGAAGGUUGAUUAUUUUUCUCCAGAUUUUGAGAAAGUGGGAUUCGUUCCGCUUGAUCAUUUCUGUGAGGGAAGCCUUUAAUCUACAGUUCUGUUUUGAUAGAGUCCUUAUUUUCGAAUACAUAACAACACUUGAGCUCUGUGUUUCUACCUCUGUUUUUUUCUUUUCUAUUAGCAAUAAUAGAAAGGGGAAAAAAAAUGUAGGAACAAAAACAGCAGAGUAUUUUUUAAAUCAAGAGUUGGGGGUUCUGUCGUUAGAAACAAAACAGUAGCAUAAGAGUUGUUUCUUCCGGUGUAUAUUUUCGGAGUAUGGUCUUCCCCUUAAAUGUGGAAAUUGAGGAUCAUAAUUCGGAGGGUUUACUUUGAAGAAAAUGGAGUGUUCAAAGCAGGCGAUUUGUCGCAACUGAACACAUUAGCAUGGAAUAAUAAAAUAGGACACUUGAGGGGAGAUGAGUUUGAAUGAGUUAUUAAAGGAUUUUUUCCUUUUUUGUGAUUCAUUGUGUUAAAAAUUUAUAAAUGAUCUCUCCUUUACAUUAAUGGGGGAAAAAAUAAACAGAGUGGCUGUAACAGGUUGUUUUGUUUGUUUUUUUCUCGGUAAUUCUAUUUUGUUGGUUUGUAGAACAAGUGUAAUGAUUAAGAGGGACAGUUGGGGGCAUCCGUAUUGCGUGGCUAGAGGUGAAAUUCUUGGAUUCACGCAAGACGAACGAGUGCGAAAGCAUUUGCCAAGGAUGUUUUCAUUAAUCAAGAACGAAAGUUAAGGGAUCGAAGGCGAUCAGAAACCGCCCUAGUCUUAACUAUAAACGAUGCCAACUAGGGAUUGGAGGGAAGCUUUUUAUAAUAUAGCCCCGUCAGGACCUGUUCAGAGAAAUCUUAAGUCUCUGGGUUCUGGGGGGAGUAUGGUCGCAAGUCUGAAACUUAAAGAAAUUGACGGAAGGGCACCACCAGGUGUGGAGCCUGCGGCUUAAUUUGACUCAACACGGGGAAACUUACCAGGUCCAGACGCGGGAAGGAUUGACAGAUUGAUAGUUUUUUCUUGAUUCCGUGGGUGGUGGUGCAUGGUCGUUCUUAGUUGGUGGAGUGAUUUGUCUGGUUAAUUCCGAUAACGAACGAGACCUCAACUAGUUAACUAGCCGAGAAAGUUUUUAAAGAUUCUCUAUUCUUUCAAUCCAAACUCUUGUAGUGUCUUUAUUGAUGUUGCAAGGGGGAAGGGUAGAGAGAAACUUUUUUGUUUCUGAUGUUUGUUGGAGUUUAUAAGUCAGGUCUAAAARRCAUUUGCAGGCUUCACGGCUUGUGAAUGWGUUUUUAGGUUUGAUGAAUCCAAUGAAUUGUUGGAAAGUUCCUUUGGGGUUUUAUGAAAUGCAGAUGGGUUUUUGAAGGUUAUUUCGGYAAUSUUCAGGGAUUUGUUUGUAUUUUGCCCAAGGGGGUUGGCUUCUUAAAAGGACUACCUUAGUUGCAUGAGGUGGAAGCAUGAGGCAAUAACAGGUCUGUGAUGCCCUUAGAUGUCCUGGGCCGCACGCGCGCUACACUGAUUGAUUCAACAAGUUUAAUGUCAUGCUUUAAGAAAUGGCUGUGGCUGUAACAGGCURUGGUUGGUUUCUGGUGUGAUUUUCCUUGCCCGAAAGGGUUGGGUAAUCUUUUGAAAGUCGAUCGUGAUGGGGAUUGACCUUUGUAAUUAUUGGUCAUGAACGAGGAAUACCUAGUAAGUGCAAGUCAUCAGCUUGCGCUGAUUACGUCCCUGCCCUUUGUACACACCGCCCGUCGCUCCUACCGAUCGAAUGAUGAGAUGAAAUGUUCGGAUUGUUGAUUUGCAGGGGUGUUUUCUGAGCAUCCUGGUGAAUUUGAUGAGAAGAGCAGUGAAUCUUAGCAUUUAGAGGAAGGAGAAGUCGUAAC
RNAcentral lists this ribosomal RNA (2689 nucleotides) under Monocercomonoides sp. Its description in RNAcentral is "partial small subunit ribosomal RNA". The stretch from base 301 to 2689 matches the Rfam family "Eukaryotic small subunit ribosomal RNA". The record is from RNAcentral. Lineage: Eukaryota; Preaxostyla; Oxymonadida; Polymastigidae.